GCGGUCAGCGAUGAGGAACUGAUCUCCUACAUUGUGAACGGUUUGGGCUAUGACUAUAAUCCUUUUUGUGUCAUCUGUUCUUGGCCGUUCUGAACAUACCUCGCUGAGCGAUCUAUAUGCACAACUUAUGGCAUAUGAGA
Molecule: small nucleolar RNA, 140 nt
Organism: Panicum virgatum (switchgrass)
Lineage: Eukaryota; Viridiplantae; Streptophyta; Magnoliopsida; Poales; Poaceae
Product: small nucleolar RNA Z247
Exons: 1
Source: RefSeq, a predicted model, not a curated record